This 350-nucleotide long non-coding RNA is filed under the name Trifolium pratense (red clover). RNAcentral's name for it is "long non-coding RNA (TPRA_LNC009189)". Lineage: Eukaryota; Viridiplantae; Streptophyta; Magnoliopsida; Fabales; Fabaceae. The record is from RNAcentral.
GUGAGCCUUCGAUUCAGCGCGAAUUAUGGGUCCAAAAUACAAAUUGGUGAAAAUUUUGAAUGCACUUGAUGUGGAAGACAAGAUGGAAAUAGGUUUAUGUUUCAUAUGUGAUAAACCAUUUAAUUUUGAACAUCAAUUGUGGCAUCAUAAAAAUAUUCAGAUAGUAAUGAAGGAUGAAGAAGAAGAAUCUGAAUCGGAACAUGAAGCUCUUCAGAAGCAGGUGGGUGGCCUUGUAGCAAACAACACCGAAGAACCACACAAAGAACAACACGAGGAAGUGAAACCAGAAAGUGAAGUUGUCACGCAGGAUUUAAGUAGAGUUGAUGGGUCAAGGGUUUACACAGAGCUAC